GAACAAUCUUUCAACGGCCGCGGUAUCCUAACCGUGCAAAGGUAGCAUAAUCACUUGUCCCUUAAAUAGGGACUAGAAUGAACGGCCAAACGAGGGCCUAACUGUCUCCUAUAGCCCACCAAUAAACCUGAUCUCUCCGUACAAAAGCUGAGAUAAACACAUUAGACAAGAAGACCCUGUGGAGCUUUAAGCCUUAACACUAACACCUCCACCAUUAGUAUGCGCUUUUAGUUGGGGCGACUAUGGAGCAAAACAAAACCUCCACGAAAUAACCUUAAUAUAGACCCACACGUCUAAGCCAAACCAACGACCCAGUCCAACUGACCAUCGAACCAAGUUACCCCAGGGAUAACAGCGCCAUCCUCCCCAAGAGUCCAUAUCGCCAGGAGGGCUUACGACCUCGAUGUUGGAUCAGGACACCCAGGUGGUGCAGCCGCUACCAAAGG
RNAcentral lists this ribosomal RNA (446 nucleotides) under Tarentola ephippiata (African wall gecko). RNAcentral describes it as "partial 16S ribosomal RNA". It matches the Rfam family "Bacterial large subunit ribosomal RNA", at positions 1914 to 2571 of the family's 2925-position model. The record is from RNAcentral. Lineage: Eukaryota; Metazoa; Chordata; Lepidosauria; Squamata; Phyllodactylidae.